AUUGAACGCUGGCGGCAGGCUUAACACAUGCAAGUCGAGCGGGGAAAGGUAGCUUGCUACCCGACCUAGCGGCGGACGGGUGAGUAAUGCUUAGGAAUCUGCCUAUUAGUGGGGGACAAUGUUCCAAAAGGAACGCUAAUACCGCAUACGUCCUACGGGGGAAAGCAGGGGAUCUUCGGACCUUGCGCUAAUAGAUGAGCCUACGUCGGAUUAGCUAGUUGGUGGGGUAAAGGCCUACCAAGGCGACGAUCUGCAGCGGGUCUGAGAGGAUGAUCCGCCACACUGGGACUGAGACACGGCCCAGACUCCUACGGGAGGCAGCAGUGGGGAAUAUUGGACAAUGGGCGCAAGCCUGAUCCAGCCAUGCCGCGUGUGUGAAGAAGGCCUUUUGGUUGUAAAGCACUUUAAGCGAGGAGGAGGCUCCUUUAGUUAAUACCUAAAGUGAGUGGACGUUACUCGCAGAAUAAGCACCGGCUAACUCUGUGCCAGCCGCCGCGGUAA
RNAcentral lists this ribosomal RNA (501 nucleotides) under uncultured bacterium. Its description in RNAcentral is "partial 16S ribosomal RNA". It matches the Rfam family "Bacterial small subunit ribosomal RNA", at positions 30 to 523 of the family's 1533-position model. The record is from RNAcentral.